RNAcentral lists this ribosomal RNA (467 nucleotides) under uncultured Porphyromonadaceae bacterium. RNAcentral's name for it is "SSU rRNA". It matches the Rfam family "Bacterial small subunit ribosomal RNA", at positions 75 to 536 of the family's 1533-position model. The record is from RNAcentral. Lineage: Bacteria; Pseudomonadati; Bacteroidota; Bacteroidia; Bacteroidales; Porphyromonadaceae.
UUAGCUUGCUAAGACUGAUGGCGACCGGCGCACGGGUGCGUAACGCGUAUGCAACUUGCCUCACAGAGGGGGAUAACCCGUCGAAAGACGGACUAAUACCGCGUACACUCUAUGUUGGGCAUCCAAUGUAGAGGAAAUGAAAUUCGCUGUGAGAUAGGCAUGCGUCCCAUUAGCUAGUUGGUGAGGUAACGGCUCACCAAGGCGACGAUGGGUAGGGGAACUGAGAGGUUGAACCCCCAUACUGGUACUGAGACACGGACCAGACUCCUACGGGAGGCAGCAGUGAGGAAUAUUGGUCAAUGGGCGAGAGCCUGAACCAGCCAAGUCGCGUGAAGGAUGACUGCCUUAUGGAUUGUAAACUUCUUUUAUACGGGAAUAACAAGAGUCACGUGUGACUCCCUGCAUGUACCGUAUGAAUAAGCAUCGGCUAACUCCGUGCCAGCAGCCGCGGUAAUACGGAGGAUGCG